Molecule: ribosomal RNA, 253 nt
Filed under: uncultured bacterium
Lineage: Bacteria
Description: partial 16S ribosomal RNA
Rfam family: Bacterial small subunit ribosomal RNA
Source: RNAcentral
UACGAAGGGGGCUAGCGUUGCUCGGAAUUACUGGGCGUAAAGCGCACGUAGGCGGCUUUCUAAGUCAGUGGUGAAAGCCCCAAGCUUAACUUGGGAACUGCCAUUGAUACUGAUGGUCUUGAGUACACUUGAGGUGGGCGGAAUGUGUCAUGUAGCGGUGAAAUGCUUAGAUAUGACACAGAACACCGAUUGCGAAGGCAGCUGGCUACACAAAUAUUGACACUGAGGCUCGAAAGCGUGGGGAUCAAACAGG